This 73-nucleotide microRNA precursor is filed under the name Myotis brandtii (Brandt's bat). Its description in RNAcentral is "mir-9193 microRNA precursor family". It matches the Rfam family "mir-9193 microRNA precursor family". The record is from Rfam by way of RNAcentral. Lineage: Eukaryota; Metazoa; Chordata; Mammalia; Chiroptera; Vespertilionidae.
CUCAGGGGAGGGGGUCCCUCAGCCUGGAUUGCGAGAGGGCGCAGGCCAGGCUGAAGGACCCUACUGGUGCACA